Molecule: non-coding RNA, 46 nt
Organism: Schistosoma margrebowiei
Lineage: Eukaryota; Metazoa; Platyhelminthes; Trematoda; Strigeidida; Schistosomatidae
Source: Rfam
GCAUUGCUGAAGAGUCCCAUACCAGGAUGAAACGGUUGUCCAAUGC